AGAGUUUGAUCCUGGCUCAGGACGAACGCUGGCGGCGUGCUUCAGACAUGCAAGUCGAGCGGGCGGAGGCCGAACCGCAAGGGGAGGCUGAAGCUAGCGGCGAACGGGUGAGUAACACGUGGGUAAUCUGCCCGGAAGACUGGGAUAACGGUCCGAAAGGGCCGCUAAUACCGGAUAAUGUCGUUUUUCCGCAUGGGGAGACGAAGAGAGGCUUCGGUCACUUUCGGAUGAGCCCGCGACCCAUCAGCUAGUUGGUGAGGUAAAGGCUCACCAAGGCGACGACGGGUAGCCGGUCUGAGAGGAUGGUCGGCCACACUGGGACUGAGAUACGGCCCAGACUCCUACGGGAGGCAGCAGUCGGGAAUAUUGGGCAAUGGGCGAAAGCCUGACCCAGCGACGCCGCGUGAGGGAAGAAGGCCUUCGGGUCGUAAACCUCUGUCAUGGGGGACGAAGGAAGUGACGGUACCCGAGGAGGAAGCCCCUGCUAACUACGUGCCAGCAGCCGCGGUAAUACGUAGGGGGCGAGCGUUGUCCGGAGUUAUUGGGCGUAAAGGGCGUGUAGGCGGCCUGUUAAGUCAGGUGUAAAAUUUCAGGGCUUAACCCUGAAACUGCGUUUGAAACUGGNAGGCUUGAGGACAGGANAGGGAAGUGGAAUUCCCCGGUGUAGCGGUGGAAUGCGUAGAUAUCGGGAGGAACGCCAGUGGCGAA
This 708-nucleotide ribosomal RNA is filed under the name uncultured bacterium. RNAcentral's name for it is "bacterial SSU rRNA". It matches the Rfam family "Bacterial small subunit ribosomal RNA", at positions 8 to 719 of the family's 1533-position model. The record is from RNAcentral.